This 482-nucleotide ribosomal RNA is filed under the name Aporrectodea caliginosa. Its description in RNAcentral is "partial 16S ribosomal RNA". Lineage: Eukaryota; Metazoa; Annelida; Clitellata; Crassiclitellata; Lumbricidae. The record is from RNAcentral.
AGGGUGUUAUUGGUUGAACAAACCAUCUUUAUGUGACUUUUGCGCCACAUAGAUUCCCUAAGCCAACAUCGAGGUGCCAACCCCCACUAUUGAUAAGGACUCUUUAGUGAGAUUAGCCUGUUAUCCCUAAGGUAGCUUGAUCUAUUGAUCUUGAAUAAGGGUCAGAAUUUAGAUUAAUUAAUCUUUUAUUUAGGGAUGAUUAGUAACUUCCCUGGUCGCCCCAACCGAAUUUAUUAAAAAUUUAUAUUUUUAUUAAAAUAAAGCUCUAUAGGGUCUUCUUGUCCUUCGACGGAAUCUAACAGUCUUCAGUUAGAGAUUAAUUUUUAGAUGGCUUAUGGAGACAGUCUUUAUUUCGUUGGUCCUUUCAUUCUAGCCCACAAUUAAUGGGCAAGUGAUUAUGCUACCUUUGCACGGUUAGGAUACCGCGGCCGUUGAACUUAGUCACUGGGCAGGAAUUACUUCCCAUGUUGAGGCGGGAAGCA